This 76-nucleotide transfer RNA is filed under the name Candidatus Woesebacteria bacterium RIFCSPHIGHO2_01_FULL_39_95. RNAcentral describes it as "tRNA-Arg". It matches the Rfam family "tRNA". Rfam says of the family: Transfer RNA (tRNA) molecules are approximately 80 nucleotides in length. Their secondary structure includes four short double-helical elements and three loops (D, anti-codon, and T loops). The record is from RNAcentral. Lineage: Bacteria; Candidatus Woeseibacteriota. RNAcentral also lists the same sequence under 4 other names.
GCACCCGUAGCUUAAUGGAUAAAGCGUCGGCUUGCGGAGCCGUAGAUUGCGAGUUCAACUCUCGCCGGGUGCACCA